GGGUAAUCUUGUGAAACUUCAUCGUGCUGGGGAUAGAGCAUUGCAAUUAUUGCUCUUGAACGAGGAAUCCCUAGUAAGCACAAGUCAUCAGCUUGUGCUGAUUACGUCCCUGCCCUUUGUACACACCGCCCGUCGCUACUACCGAUUGAAUGGCUUAGUGAGGCCUUCGGAUCGUUAGUUGAAAACUGUAAAAGGUUUUCUUCUGAUAAGAAGUUGGUCAAACUUGGUCAUUUAGAGGAAGUAAAAGUCGUAACAAGGUUUCCGUAGGUGAACCUGCGGAAGGAUCAUUACAAAUCAUGGCGAACCUUGCGUUUCGCGAGGUCUUGCGUCCAUUUUCGUAUUUAAAACAUCCCACUCUUUAAAAAAUAUUUAUCUAAUUAUAAAAAUAAAAAAGAUCACUUUCAACAACGGAUCUCUUGGCUCUCGCAUCGAUGAAGAACGUAGCGAAGUGCGAUAUGUAAUGUGAAUUGCAGAAUUCCGUGAAUCAUCGAAUUUUUGAACGCAAAUUGCACUCUCCUCGGAGAGUAUGCCUGUUUGAGGGUCAGCCUAUAAAAAAUCGACAUCGUUGCUGUUUCGCAGUGGCGUUCGUCGGAAAUUGGGUCAUCUUAAAUCUUUUGGUUUAAGCGACUUAAAAUUUUCUUUUUGAUUCCAUGAGCGUUUCUAAGCUUUAUUUCUUUACACGUUUAAGGUAUCGAUUUUUAUUAGACGUGAACGUCAUAUCGGAUCGCGUCCAUAAUCUUUUCAUUAACUGACCUCAGAACAGGGUAGAGUACCCGCUGAACUUAGCAUAAUCAA
RNAcentral lists this ribosomal RNA (795 nucleotides) under uncultured Glomus. Its description in RNAcentral is "eukaryotic LSU rRNA". The stretch from base 1 to 290 matches the Rfam family "Eukaryotic small subunit ribosomal RNA", at positions 1544 to 1831 of the family's 1831-position model. Lineage: Eukaryota; Fungi; Glomeromycota; Glomeromycetes; Glomerales; Glomeraceae. The record is from RNAcentral.